Molecule: ribosomal RNA, 468 nt
Filed under: uncultured bacterium
Lineage: Bacteria
Description: partial 16S ribosomal RNA
Rfam family: Bacterial small subunit ribosomal RNA
Source: RNAcentral
GACGAACGCUGGCGGCGUGCUUAACACAUGCAAGUCGAACGGACAGGCCCUGCUCUUGUGGGGUGCUUGAGUGGCGCACGGGUGAGUAACACGUGAGUAACCUGCACUUGUCUUUGGGAUAAAUUCUGGAAACUGGGGCUAUUAUCGGAUAGGAGCUCCUGCUGCAUGUUGGGGGUAGGUAAAUUGCGGCGGUUGGGGAUGGACUCGCUGCUUAUCAGCUUGUUGGUGGGGUAGUGGAGUACCAAGGCUUUGACGGGUAGCCGGCCUGAGAGGGUGACCGGCCACAUUGGGACUGAGAUACGGCCCAGACUCCAACGGGAGGCAGCAGUGGGGAAUAUUGCACAAUGGGCGGAAGCCUGAGGCAGCAACGCCGCGUUCGGGAUGACGGCCUUCGGGUUGUAAACCGCUUUCGCCUGAGACGAAGCGAGAGUGACGGUAAUGGGUAAAGAAGCACCGGCUAACUACGUG